This 7640-nucleotide long non-coding RNA is filed under the name Gossypium barbadense (sea-island cotton). RNAcentral describes it as "long non-coding RNA (GBAR_LNC019753)". The record is from RNAcentral. Lineage: Eukaryota; Viridiplantae; Streptophyta; Magnoliopsida; Malvales; Malvaceae.
AACGAAGCGUCAAAAGUGAAAAAAAAAAAAAAAAAAAACAACCCAACCUCAUGAGCUGUCAUCUAGAGAAAUCUAAAAAUAUCUAAACCUCAACAAACUAGCUCCAAGAGAAGACAAACUGACAGAAUUCUAAUCGGUUCAAUUUCUUCUCGCAAAACCACACAUCCAUUUUGAAAUUUGACUCAGUUACAAACUUUAUCUCCAUCCACGAUCGAUUUCCAAUUCGGUGAUUUCUUAACCAACAUCUCCAUUAACAAGGUACGCACUUGUCCCCAUUUUUAAACCUUCAGUUGCCAAACAAUGAGCAGAUUCGUUUGCUAGUCAUCUUGCAUGUUGAAACUUACAGCCAUUAAAACCCUCACUUAGAUUUUUAACAUCAGGAAUGUAAGGUCCUAUUACCGAUUUGCCCCUCUACGUAUUUUGGACUUUCUUGAUUAUCGUCAAACAAUCCCUUUCAAUCUCAGCAUGCGUGAUCCCCAAAUCUCUACCCACAGUAACUGCCUGCACGCAAGCGAUGGCCUCAUGAAUAUACUGUUUAAUGAACUUUACUGUCUCUGCUCUAGAUUUCUUUCUCCCCUUAUGAAUCCAUCGAUUUCUGCUAGUCCAGAUAGCCCAAAUAGCACAAACAAAUAUUCGACACACAUCCACCCUACUGUUUAGAAAAACCUAGGUAAACCAAUCCAUAAACUCAAGUUGUGACAUUUCUUGUGACCAGACAUAAUCUAUAUUUUCCCAUGUCUCUUUUGUAACAGAACAAUCACAAAAAAUGUGUUUCCUUUUUUCCAACCUUUGCAUAUAUCUUGGGCAAACAACCUCAGUAGUUAAUUUUUUUGCUCGAAGAUUCACUAGAGUAGGAAGAUAAUUGAAAGUAGUUUCCCAAGCUGUAAUUUUAUUUUAGAAGGAAGAUCUAGGUUCCAAAGUUUCCUGUAGCAGCUUGUAUUGUCAACGGGGUUGUAAUUAUUUGGGUUAUUGAAGUAACUUAUAGUCGCUACGCACCAUGAACUCACCCGUCGACUCGCCCCUCCACACCAUAAAAUCAUCAUGAGGAAAUUUUUCUACAGGAAUUUGUAAGAUCAUCCGUGCAUCACUAUCAGAAAAGGUACUAAGAACCAAUCCAAUUCUCCAUGAUCUAGUAUCACAGUCAGUUAGAUCCACAACUCUCGUUGUAACAGCCUGUUUUCAAUAAAAUCGGAACAGUAGUUUUAGGACCAUAAAUCUAAUGUGUAAAUAUUUGUUUUAUUAUUUUAAUGUCUAUAGCAUGUUAGUAUUACCGUAUAAAAAUUUCGUUAAGAAAUUUUACCGUUUGCAUGCUUAAUUCGAUAAAAAAGAUUUAAAUCGCAUAUAGUGCAAAAGUUGAGUUCUAGUAGCUAAAGGUAUUAAAUGGCUAUAGAACCUUAAAGUAUGAGUCCUUAUGUGGUAAUUAAACCAUAAAUGAAGUUAGUGGAUAUACAUGGCUUGGUAUUAGUAGAAAUUUUAAUGUUUUAAAAGGUUAUAAAAGUAAUUAGGUAAAUAAUGAUUAAUAAAAUAAAAUAAAAUAAGGUUAUCAUCUUUUUCCAUCAUCUUCAACCGAAAAUUAGGGCUAAGAAAGCCAUUGAAGAGCUUUAGCAUUCGAUCAUCUCUCCUUGCUUGUGUGGUAAGAUUUUUCGUCCCGAUUUUAAUGAUUUUUAUUUUUUCAAGAUCGUUGUAACUAAUUUGUAAAACUGUUAAAAGAGUAGAGUUUUGUCAUGAAUGAAUAAAGGUUGGUUUUGAUGUUUGAUGGAAGAAAAUGGAUAGUUGUUAGAUAAAAAAACUUUUGUUAUGUGAUUUUUUAUGAAAUUGUAAUUUAGGGAUUAAAUUGAAAAAUUGAAAAAUAUACAUGGUAAAAUAGUGAAAUAAAUAAAAUGUAGGGCUUUCUAGCGACCUAUAUGAAAUUUGACUAUGGUGGGUUAAUGAAAAAUUUCAUGAAUUUCAUUUUAUGAGCUAGGGACUAAAUUGAAAUAAAAUUAAAAUUAUAGGGGUAAAAAUAUAAUUUUGCUAAAAUAUGAUUUUGGAAUGAAUUGAAUAGAGUAAAUAUUAAAUUGAGUUGAAUUUAUUCGUUUAGAUCAAGACAAUCCUCGUAUGGCUAUAGAUCAAUGCAAAGAUAAAAUUUUGGAAUAAUCGCCCCCGUAUCUACGUUUAAUCGUUGAGGUAAGUUCGUAUAAUUAUAUUGCAUUUAUAUGUCUUAUGUUGAAAUAUAUAUAUGUACCAUGGACUGUUAUUUAUUAAUUUGUCGCAUAUCCAACAAUGUUACGUCGACUACCGAGCCCCGUUUGAACCUUAGGAAUUCGUAGGAUACAAAUGACAUGUUAUUAUGGUUUACAUGAUUCAAGUGUUGGUCUUGAAUGUCCUAUCGAUGGUUGAGGUCUGGCAUGUGUUGCGGAUACUCCAUAGCUCGUGAGCAGCAUCGUGUAGCUACAUUUCGACCUACAGCUCGUGUGAGCAGGCCUGUUUUCAUAGCUCGUGAAAGCGUACUUAUUUACAGCUCGUGUGAGCAUACAUGUAUAGGAGUUGACGGAUUACAGUUAUAUGAGUUAGCAAACUUUGUGUGUGAGCUAUCCCAGGUAUCCAACUAUAUUCUAAACGGUUCAAUAGGCAUGACCUGUAAGAAAUGGUAAGAGUUCGAUACGAACUAAGAUAUGAACAAGUGUGAAUUGUGUUGAAUUUGUGAUACAUGAAUUAACGAAAGUUGAGAUGGAUGAUAUUUGUAUUGUUACAUGAUUAAGUGUUCUGAUCAUCCAUAAGUAAAUUACUUAUGUUUUAUGCUUAUAUGGCUAACAUGUUUGGUGUAAAUGCUUAGGCUUUGGCCAAGUUGUGGUUGGAUUAUGCCAUGUUUAACUUAUUUAUCAUGUAAUGAAAUGGUAAGUUGAGUUUUACAUUAUACGAACUUACUAAGCAUUUAUGCUUACUCUGUGUUAUUAAUUUUUUUCAUGUUUCAAAGUGAAUCGGAAGCUUGUUCGAGUUGGAAGCUUGUCGGAGUUAUAUCACACUAUCCAUCGGCUAAAUCAGCAGAUUUUGGUGUUUUUAAGUUUGGUUAUAAUGGCAUGUACAAGAGUUUUUUUUUUAUAAUGUAGUCAUUUGUGUUGGCUUGUGUUUAUGGCAUUUUUUGUGAUGAAAUGGUACUAAUUUUGACAUGUAUAUAUUUGGCCUUAAAAUGGUUAAUAUCAUGGGUUGGGAUGCUUGAAUGAUUGAAGAUGGAAUGGUAGUUAAAAAUGUAUGUUAUAAAUGGUCUUAGGAUGUGUUUGAAUGUGGUGAUUUGGUAUAUUUGUUAUAGAUGACAUAUAUGGCUGGUGGUGCUAGAUGUUAAAUGGCAUAUUUGGCACUUUUGGUGUGAAUUUUGAUAGGUAAACAAAGUGGUAAGUUUUGACAUAAACUUAGUUAUAAGUUAGUUGAACUUUUGGCCAGAUUUUGCAAACGGUUAUACAUGUCUAACUGCUGUGAUUGAAAUGCCUUUUGGGCAUAUUGGUUGUAUGCUUAUGUACCUUAUUUGGAUAGCUUAAUUAUACAUGUUUUUAGUGAAAUUUGAUGGCUUUCUUAUAUGUGGAAAAUUGAAUGUAGGUAUAUGCAUGAAUGGGUGAAAAAAAUGACUUGGAAAUGACCUAUUUUUCGUCCAAACGGCUAAAGACACGGGCGUGUGCCUCAGCGGUGUGUGACACACGGCUAGGCGACAUGGCCAUGUGCCCCCUAUAGCUUACAAAAGGUUUCAAGUUAGGUUGUUACAUGACCUAGCACACGGCCUGGCACACGGGCGUGUGAGUCCAUUACGAAGGGUACACGGCUUGACACACAGGCGUGUGGCUUGGUCGUGUGACCCAAGUCAGAGAGUUACACGGGUUGGGACACGGCCAUGUGUCCCUACUUUGAAUGUCCACACAACCUGUGCGUGAGUCUCAACCAUGUGAGUCACAUGGCUGUGUGACCCCUGCAGUUUGAAAAUUUUCAUUUUUUUCUGAAAAAUUUUAUAUGUUUCCAAUUUAGUCUCGACUUCUUUCUUAUGUGUUUUUAGGGCCCCGAGGGCUUAUAUAAGGGACAGUAUGCAUGUUAUUGAUUGUUUUUGCUAUGAUUAAUGAUAUUAAUUAAAAUGUUUAAAAAAAUUUAUUACUUUGGAAUGAAAACUCCGGUAAUACUCUGUAAUGUUAUUUCGAUGAAGGAUACGAGUUAGGGGUGUUACACUCGUAAUAUUUGGCCUGCUAAUAGUUUGUGUUAUCUUGAUACCUUCAGCUUCUAGAACCCAAACAUCUUCCUCAAAUUUGAUGUCUCUGCCAAUCCUCACCCUCCAACAAAGUCUAAACAACAGAAGGCCUUUCGCAGCCCAUAUACUUUUCCAAGUAUAUGCAGGUAUAUUUCCUAACUCUAAAUGUAAGAAAUCAAAAUUUGGAUGAUAUUUAACUUUCAAAGUUCUGCCUAAAAGAGAAUUAGGAUUAACAAUUAAUCUCCAACCUUGCUUCGCAAGAAGGGCCAAAUUGAAUUUUGCUAAAUAACGAUAAUCGAGAUCGCCAUUCUCUUUCAACUCGCAAAGUUUCUUCCAUUCACACCAGUGAAUACCAUGCCUCCCAUGACCUUUUUACCACUAGAAGUUUGCCAUUAUUUGCUCCAUCUCCUCACAAAUCGAUUUCGGCAAUAAGAAGCAUGCCAUCGUAUAAGUCGGUAUCGCCUAUAGCACAACUUUUAUGAAAACCUCUUUUCGCCUUUGCGAUAGAAAAAAAGUACUCCAAUUGUCAAUAUUCAUUUUGAUACGGUCUUUUAAAUGUUGAAAAGCCAAACGUCUCCCUCUACCCACCAUAUUUGACAAGCCCAAAUAUUUUUCAGAAUUAUUUGAUCCUAUCAGAAAUGGAAAUUCGAACAUUGUCUAAAGUAUUUGAACUAAAAACCACUGUUUAUUUCCAUAAUUAACACAUUGACCUAAACAGACUUCGUACUCCUUCAAAAUAUUUUCAAAGGUUUCAGUACCCUUAUCAAUCGCCUCCCCGAACAAAAUACAAUCAUCAGCAAAAAGAAGAUAAGAAAUCUGAGGUCCCCUUCUACUCACCCUAACCCCUCUCAAAUUCCCUUCCUCGCUUGCAAGCCUUAUAAGGGUUGAAAGCCCCUCACUGCAAAUAAGGAACAGAAAGGGUCUUAAGCGAUCUCCUUGACGCAAACCCCUCUCUCGGAUAAAAUUCUUCCUCGCGAUACCGUUUAGAUUGAUCGAAUACGAAACAGUACUAAUACAUUGCAUGAUGAAGCCAACCCACGAAUCAGUAAAACCAAUUUUACUCAUCAUCUGUUUCAAAAUAUCUCAUUCAACCCGAUCAUACGCCUUGCUCAUAUCAAUCUUGAGUGCCAUAAGACUUUUAUUUCCCACUCUUUUAUUUCAUAAAGUAUGAAGAAUUUCAUAGGUAAGAACCGCAUUAUCAGUGAUUAAUAUUCCCGAAACAAAAGUACACUGAGCUGGAUUAAUACAAAGAUCAAGUACCUUUUGAAAUCUAUUUGCCACUACUUUAGAAAUGACUUUAUAUAACACUAUACAACGACUAAUUGGUCCAAAAUUCAUAAGAUUUCUCAGAUGUGCAGUCUUCAGGAUUAAACCAAUGUUUGUGUGAUUCAAAGAUUGUAAAGACAUACCCUCAUUAAGAAUAUUCAAACAAUAAUUGCUUACCUCCCUUCUAAUAACGUACCAAAAUUUUUGGAAAAACAUGGCUGAAAACCCAUCAGGACUUGAUGCUUUGGUCGGCUCUAUACUAUUAAGCGCAUUAAUAAUUCCUUCCUCCUUGUAUCUGGCUGUUAGCAUCUGGUUCAUACUAUCAUUGGUACGACACUUAACCUUUGAAAGAAGAUGAUUCGUAUCCCCAACACCUUGCAAUGAAAAGAGCCCCAAUAAGUAAUCUUUUGUAAUGGCCUUUAGUUCUUCAUCUUCUAUUUUUAAAACACCUUCGUCAUUCUCUAGCCCCCGGAUUUUAUUCAAUCUAUGUCUUUGAGAUGCUUGACUAUAAAAAAACGUCGUAUUUUUGUCCCUUAGUUGAGUGGGCUUAUAUAGAAUUGUUUGUUAAUCCAUGUCAGAAUGAGCUUGCUGGAUCGAGUGGUAAGGGAGUUAGUAUGUUAGAGGUCUUGUGUUCGAGUGCCUGUUCGAGUGUGGAUGUUAUUUUUGCUCGGUUGCAUGUUAGAGUUUCGGUGGAGUUGGCAUUAUAGGGUAGUUGAGAUUGAGUUGUUAGUGGAGAGUUGGGAUUUAUCAAAUAUAUUUUAUUUUUAUUUUUUAAAGAAAUUUUCUCUCUUUCGAAAAGUUUUUCUCCCUUAGUUGAGAUUGAAUUUUCUUUUCCUCUCUUUUUAGUUCACUGCCAAUUUUUUUUCUCUUCUUUUUCAAUUUCGUCACAUUAUCUUUUGCACAAUUCAUCGUGUCUCGAUAUUUUGGUGUUCUUUGUGUGUUUCUAGUAACUGUGGUAAGUGUGAUUAUUGUUUUGGUUAAUAAAUCUUUGGUUAAUGGGGUCUGUUUUGUGCUUAGGAGAAGAUCAAGGGGUUGGGGGCUUUCAAUCGGUGCUAUAGUUGUGCAAAAUCACUGUUGCUCAUUCGAAGGUAAGGGUUUUGGUGGAUUAAAAGAUUUUGCAUUUCAAUGUAGCUUCGUUUUAGUAUUGAUUUAAGUGAUUAAUUUAAUGAUUUAUUGGUCAAUUUUAGGUGGUGUGUGACUUUGGAGUGUUUUUACAUCGAAACCGUAACAGUUGUGUUCCUAAAACGUAAAAAAUUAAGUUUUGGCGAAAGCUGAAAAAUUAUUCUAUGGAUGCCACAAGGGCAUGUGCCUGGCAGUGUAGUUGGCCUUGUGCAAGACACUAUCGUGUGUUUGACGAAGGUGCCCUCAUGCUCAAGGUACGGUCGUGUGAUGGUGUGAGUGUAACCGUGUGGGCCACACAAGCUAGGCCAUAUUGGGCGUGUGGGCCCACACGAGCAUGCCACACGGACGUAUGAGUUUUGGGCCAGGCCAUAUGGGCCACACGAGUAAGCCCAAUCUGGGAGUGUGGGUCGUACGGAUCGCUCCGAUCGACUAUGGGCCUACCAUAGGGUCGGUAAAGGCUAACCAAACCUUAAGUUAUGUGAUCUGAUAUUCUGAUAGUCUAUCUUGAGUAGGACACCGUUAUGCAUGUCUGAUUAUUCUAUUAUAUAUAUGUUAUUUGUAUGCGACUUUCACCUAUAUUCUAGCAGCUUGACUGUAUUCUAUCUGUUGUGUGUCGUAAUGACACUAUAUAGUGUGUAGGGAUGGUGGGUGUUGUUAACCCCACAUGGUGUGAUGGGAUGGUCGGAGAUGGUGUGUAGAGGCUGGAGGUAGGAUUCUGUAUAUUUGAUUCUGUUAUCUGUAUCUGAAAUGGACUUAAGCCCGAAUUUGUAUUUGACUGUAUAUGAGAUUUCUGUAUGUAUUGCAUGAUAUUUCUGUUGGGCUACACACUGAGUUUGUGAAAAAUCACUACUAUUUGUUUGUUCUGUUCAGGUAAUCCACAGACUGAGGCGGAUCCGUGCGGCAGAGUCUCACGGUGACCACAAGUUUGCGAACUAUUUUUAAAUUAGUGGUUUUUGUUUAAUUAUGGAUUAUUUCUGGGAGUUUUGUAAUUAAGGGACUCUCCGGACUAUUUGGUUUUAUUUUGGAUUUGGAUUUUCGAAUUAAC